CCGCCCCACCCCCGCCCUUCCCCUCCCGGUGGGCGAGGUCUGAGGCUUCCGGAGCCUCAGAAAGUGAGGAGGUGAAAGGUGAAGGGAGCCGUGGGAGGAGACGCUCGCGGGCGGGGCGCGGUCCAGGGUUGAACCAAUGGGGAAGGAGCGCGGGGGGCGGGGCCGCCGGAAGUGCGGCGCUCGGCGCUUCCGCCGGCCUUCGCUCUGGGAGCGGGCUCGGGGCGCCGGGCGUGCCUUCUGCGGCGGGGCGGGCUCCCCGGACGCCGGGCGCUGUCAGACGCCGUUUGGGGGCCCUGUUAAAGCGGGUGCCGGAACCCAGGGGCAGAUGUGCCCGCGUGGACGCUGCAGGGUGGAUGGAGAGACGGGCGGCCGCUGGUUGUCUCCGCGCUGUGCUCUCAGCUGCACGUCGCAGUAAAACAAAAAUCGUGACGAUGAGAACAGCACCUAGGGAUGCUCUGGGGACACAGCUAGAGCUCAGACAUCCAGACGCUUUCGUUGACCUGGCAGAGGCCUUGCUGCUUGGUCACGUGCCCUGAAGCCGAGGCGCUGGGAGGGGAGGGGGCGCUUUGCUUAACGCCCCGGCGGCUGCCCCUCCAGCGAGGGCCGGCUCCUCUCCGGCGCUCCUGGCCCGCAGCCCCGUCCGCCAAGAGGGAGGGCUGGAGCCGGUGGUCUCGCCCAAGGGGGAGGGCUGCCUGCAGGUCUCAUUUGCGAGGACCAAGCCUCUGUUCUCGGCGCGCAUCGAAAGUGUUGAUAAUGUUGGACGAGCCUCUACACUGUGCCAGGGUCUUGUGACACCUGCCGGGGAGGCAAACCGCCAAAUCCAGAAUGUAGGCUGUUCUGUGGAAGAAUGACCCAGUUUAUUAAUUAAUUAAGGGGCUGGGGGAAAAGAAAGGAAGUAGGACUGUGUGACAAUUAAAGCUCAAAAGACAUAAUUAAAUGGUGUGUGGACCUUGUUUGGAUCAUGAUAGGACAAACCAGCUGGACACGAGGAAACUAGGUUUCCCAGGCUGAGAGACUUGCCAGGACGAGGGACCUGACGUCUGGCAGCAAAUCUCACCGCCACUCGUCCCUAGCACACUGGCUCCAAGCAGGAAGGAUGUUCUUGAAAAAGGCAUAAUAGGUGUGGUAGACACAAUUCUGAAGAUGGGCCCCAAGAUACCCAUCCUCUGGUUAUCCAGUCCAACACAAGUCCCAACGCUGCUCUGAAGGCACUUUGCAGAUGUAACGAAAAGCCCAAGCCAGUUGGCCUUCAUGGAGAUUAUCCGGUAGGCUUGACCUUGGUGGGUGGAGAGGUUCCUCGAGCAGGCGACCCCAGAGAGCCUCAAAGCGUGAGAACAGUGCUGCUUUGGAGAUGGAGGGGUCGUGUGGGAGAGAAGGCAGUGUGCGGCCUCUGGGAGCAGAGGGAGGCCCUCAGCUGAUGGUCAGCAAGGAAAUGAAGAUCUCCGACCCACUGUUGCCAGGAGCUGGACGCCACCAGCAACUUGAAGGAGCCCCGUGGGAGCCCAGCCUGCCGGCACCUGCUCUUAGGAGGCCUGGAGGGCACUGAGCCACCGAAUAAUCCUGUGAGGUGGGCAUUACCUCUCUUGGCUUCAUUGGAUCGUGUUUUGGCUCGCAGCACAUGGAAUGGAUUAAUCAUAAGCCUGGCUCCCUUUUUCAUCACCACUGCUCAUUCUUGGCCCACUUCUGAUUGUUCCUUUGUUUUGGUGGCCGACCCCUCCGCCCCGAGGAAACAAGGAUUCCCAGGCUGAGACACUUGCCCGGACAAGGGACCUGACGUCUGGCAGCAGAUCUCACCACCACUCGUCCCUAGCACACUGGCUCCAAGUGGAAAGGAUGUUCUUGGUAGGAAAAUGCCACUAGGGCGCCUGGGUGGCUCAGUCGGUUGAGCGACUGCCUUCGGCUCAGGUCAUGAUCCUGGAGUCCCUGGAUCGAGUCCCGCAUCGGGCUCCCUGCUCGGCGGGGAGUCUGCUUCUCCCUCUGACCCCCCCGACCCUCCCCCCUCUCAUGCUCUCUCUCUCUGUCUCUCUCUCAAAUAAAUAAAUAAAUAAAAAAUCUUUAAAAAAAAAAAAAAAAGAAAAUGCCACUAGAAGGGGCCACAGACGUUCCCGUUGGAAUAACUUUCUGCAAAAAGAGCCCCAUCAUUUGCACGGGGAGAAGCGAAUGCAACAGAAACUCCCGGCAUGUCCCCGAGAACUUUGGAAAGAUAGCGGUUAGAACCGGCUGCCCCAGGUGCGGUCAGGGGCCUGCCAUGGGCACAGUCUUCUCUUCCCGCAGAGCUGGGGAGAGGGUGGCCUUGGCUUGCCCGAAGGACAGGGCAGGAGGGAGGAGGCAGCAAGCCCCUCAGAUCCUGGGGAGAGCGUCUUACAAGGCCUGUGGACAUGAGGGAGAAUUUGUAUCUAAGGCUGAUUAAAUUGUUCACCACAAGCCCCCUGCGUUUCGAACCCUCCUGUGUGUUGGUCGAAUUCAUCAUCAGCCAGAAAAAAGUCAGAACCAUGAAAAGCGCUGUGGGUGAGGAUUGGCAGGAGGGAUCGUUUCUCAUUAGAAAAACAAUGGAGAUUAUUAUAGCGGCGUUGGAGGGAGCGAACGGUAGGGUAGCCCGGGCACAUCAGCCUUCCCCCACCUUCUGCGGCUGUUGUGCGCGUCCCCGUGAGGAAGCUGAGUGCCUGGGCUUUGUCUCCCCUUGGCUCUGCGCUUGGAUUGGUCAUGAGCCCAGGACCGGAGCCAGAAGCAUCUUGAGGUGACGGCAGUGACCCUGCGGGACCACGGGUCAAGUGGGUCUCUCCCCUGAAUAAUGAGGCUAAGGACACUCGCGCUAUCGUGAGGAGCAUGUGGCUUUGCCGCACAUCCCCCAGACGAUGACCUGUCACAGGGACAGUGACUGCCACCAGUAACAGUGUUCGGGAAAGCGGUGUCGCGUUGGUGAUGGAUGAGGUGUGGCUCUCGCCCUCACGAUGUGGAUGGAGCUCCGGCCGUCACAGCAGCAUCCCCAACAGCAGACCCGCAGAGUUGGGGGCUGGGAAAGGCCACACUGUAGCGAUCUCUCAGGGAAGUUCUGUGCAGGGGGGCUGUGAGCUGGGGAGCGGGGUGCUGUGGGCCCAGCCUGCCAGCUUGCCCCUUCACAUUCUGUCCCAUCCUGGCCUCCCCCUGCAUUCACCGAUUGGACUGCUUUUCCCUGAGGUGUGAAAACUUAGAAAGCACCUUCUCCAAAGGGAGUUUCCAAAACUGAAGAUGUUCCUUCCAGAAACAAAGCCAGUGACCUGAGGCCACAGGAAAGCAAACUGGAGCUGGGCCAGGGCCUGCGACCCCAGGAGGAGCCCUGCUGCGCCCCCGGCCGGGGGAACCCAGCCUCCUGCCGGCCCGCGCGUCUGCCCACAGCCUGAGCCGCAACCGGCAAGGGAGCAGCCCCACUUGGUGCUACAGGUGGCCGGCGCUGAGCCCGGUUUCUGGAACAAGCAGCGUCGGGGCUGGGCCCCCACCACCCCCAGCCUGCGGCUCUGCCCAUCACCUGGCCUCUUACGGGAUCCCAUCCUUCGGCAGAAGCGACAGGCCCGGAGACAGGGGAUGCGACCCAGGCAGGGCCAAUCAGAUCCUUCCCUGGACGUGCUGUGUGGAAGCUGGGGGAGCAGGUCUCUCCCGCCAGGGUCCCCACGCGGGGAGACGGGCUUCUGGAGCCCUGCGCCCCUGCCCACCGCGCCCCAGGGGGUGGACCAGCAGAGGCACGCGGGGAGGGGAGGCUGGAGACACAGAUCCCCGCCCCAGAGCCUGAAUCCUCCCCCGGAAGCCCUUUCUUCACUCCCGAGGCCCGUCAGCACCCGUCCCUGCACGGGGAACCAAGUUCCGAUUGACUCCGUUUGCCUGCGGGGCUUUGCGUCCGUCUUCCGUCACUUACCGCUAAGGUUGUCACCACAGUGUCCCUGCACCGUCACUGUGACCCCGUGGACAGAGGAGGGUGCUGCGGGGAGUCCAGGUCCCACCCUCGUGCGCUGUGGACCGCACGCUCUUUCCAGCACCCGCUCUUCCCUCUCUCAAUCCAACGGGCAUCUGACCCGCGCAACGGGCAUCUGACCCGCGCUGUGAUGUUCGCUGCCGCUGUCACCGCGGGGCCCUUUCCCCAGCACGCUCCUGCUGGGCUUUGCUUCCAGCUGGGUCCGCCGGCUCAGGCAGUGUGAGCGGGUCCUACUCCGUCUAACCAUGAGACUGUGGGCUGCUGUGUGGAAACCCCCGGGCCGCCCCCAACCGCGACAGCGUCGCUUGCGAGCAUCAGGGGCUCCCUUCCCUCACCUCCCCGGCGGCUCGGGGGAGAGUGAGUGAGGCGUGCAGGUAAGCCCGGGACGCAGACACCAGGCCUCGGCCAUCCUCCCCCCCCCCCCCCCCAGAGAGCUGCUGAGUUUCCCCAAGUUUACGUCUAGAAAUCCAUGGCCGAAUGUUUUGGGUUCUACCAACUUAGUGGACAAUCAGGUAAGAUCCAAGUGCAUAGUCCUACAGACUUCUGAAAAUCAAACGUAUCUGGGAUGAGAAAUGGCACCCCUGGGCAUUCCCCCAAGGGAAUCGGGAGCGGGAACGGAGACAUUUGUGCACCCUCAUGUCCAUGACAGCACUGUUCCCAGGAGCAGAGAGGUCGGAAGCGGCCCCCAGGCCCUCGGAGGGAGGGUGGACGGCCGGUCUGUGGUACUUUGUUCCAUCCCGAGGAAACUCAGACGGGUGGCCCAAAACGACCGCGAUGAUUUCUUGCUGCUGCGUCUGUGUUCAAGUUGCCCUCUCCCUUGAAGGGCGCCGGUCAUAUCGGAGGAGAGCCCCCCUCUACUCCAUUACGGCCUCAGCGUAACUAACUCCAUCCGAAAAGACGUCAUUCCCAAAAAGGUCACGGUGACAGGCACUGGGGUUUAGGACUUCAACACACCUUCCGAGGGGAUACCGUUUAACCCACAACAGUCUGCCCUCUGGCUCCCUAAAUUCAUGCCCUUCCCAUAUGCAAAGUACAUUCACAUUAGCCCGAUAGGCCCCCAAAGUCUUAACCAUUCCAGCAUCGAAAUGCCGUCAGGUCGGACUCAGAUCUUGACUCCUCUCUGUAUCUGAGGCCCACGCGGGGGACACGCUCGGGGAACGUUGGGUGGAGAAUCCAGAUCCAGGAGCCACUCCCGUGCCACUCUGCUCUGGUGCAAAAUCCCAACAGCCGCCACCACAAGCAUUCUCGGGCUCGCUCAGCGCUCACUGCCCACCUCGGGGGCUGCCCUCGGGAUCCCGCGGGGCGCCGAUCCGACGGAACCCCUGAGGCUGGAGGGAAGCCCAAGACAGAGACUGGUGAUCGGAAUAAAAUGUAAUACCUGGCUUCCAUCAAGAUGCUUAGCACACACUCUUUUGUGAUUGCUUACCUAAAGCAACCCGAAAAACUGCAUGAGACUGCAUUUUUGUACAACAACGUGAAACUGUUUCUACUGACUUUUUGUUUGCUCUUGUGGAGACUUCACGUCUCUCCUCCAGGAUAAUGUGGUCUUUUGUCUUCUCAGAGCUCAUGGAGCUGUAUCUUCCGGCUGGGCCUCCCCCUCUUCUCUCCCCCGAUGGCUGGGCUCACUGGGGUCCUUCCGCCUGCUCACCUGCAAGGGUGGCCCCACAUCUCUUCUCCUUUAUCAUGUGCUGUGAAUGCCAAUGCGAGGCCAGGCCACUGUCUUUGGGGAACAACUGAGGGAAUGGGCUGUUCCAAGUGCAG
This is a long non-coding RNA of Mirounga angustirostris (Northern elephant seal), 5707 nucleotides long. RefSeq lists it as uncharacterized. The transcript is spliced from 6 exons. The record is from RefSeq and is a predicted model, not a curated record. NCBI's taxonomy places the organism in Eukaryota, Metazoa, Chordata, Mammalia, Carnivora, Phocidae.